GUUAGAGUGAUUUUGGCUCUGAUAAUACCGCUGAAUUUAUGUUCAUUACGAAGUUCCUAGUAGUACCUCGUCCUGUAUUUCAUAAGUCAAGGCUGUAUUUUCAAGUCGAUUUUUCUAGCAAGUUUGUUUACAGGAUUUAGGUAUGUCUAACACUGUUAAAGGUAAAGUAAAGUUCUUCAAUGAAGCCAAAGGUUUCGGUUUCAUCGAGCAGGAACAAGGCCCUGACGUAUUCGUACACUUCAGCGCCAUUCAGACUCCGGGCUUCAAGACCCUGGCUGAAGGUCAGUCCGUUGAGUUCACCGUAGCCCAAGGCCAGAAAGGUCCUCAGGCUGAGAACGUAGUACCUCUGUAAGAGGCUGCGUCUAAAAGCAUUUCAAAGCCGCGCUCUCGAGCGCGGCUUUUUUA
RNAcentral lists this small RNA (405 nucleotides) under Oceanimonas sp. GK1. Its description in RNAcentral is "cspA thermoregulator". It matches the Rfam family "cspA thermoregulator". Lineage: Bacteria; Pseudomonadati; Pseudomonadota; Gammaproteobacteria; Aeromonadales; Aeromonadaceae. The record is from Rfam by way of RNAcentral.